This 404-nucleotide ribosomal RNA is filed under the name uncultured Iamia sp. RNAcentral's name for it is "bacterial SSU rRNA". It matches the Rfam family "Bacterial small subunit ribosomal RNA", at positions 355 to 774 of the family's 1533-position model. Lineage: Bacteria; Bacillati; Actinomycetota; Acidimicrobiia; Acidimicrobiales; Iamiaceae. The record is from RNAcentral.
UGGGGAAUCUUGCGCAAUGGGCGAAAGCCUGACGCAGCAACGCCGCGUGCGGGAUGACGGCCUUCGGGUUGUAAACCGCUUUCAGUGGGGACGAAUCAAGACGGUACCCACAGAAGAAGCCCCGGCCAACUACGUGCCAGCAGCCGCGGUAACACGUAGGGGGCGAGCGUUGUCCGGAUUUAUUGGGCGUAAAGAGCUCGUAGGUGGUUCAGUAAGUCGAGUGUGAAACCUCCAGGCUCAACCUGGAGACGCCACCCGAUACUGCUGUGACUAGAGUCCAGUAGGGGAGCACGGAAUUCCUGGUGUAGCGGUGAAAUGCGCAGAUAUCAGGAGGAACACCAGUGGCGAAGGCGGUGCUCUGGGCUGGAACUGACACUGAGGAGCGAAAGCGUGGGUAGCAAACA